CAGUCAGGCAAGAGUCGAAGCCACAGAAGCAGCUGGUAGUCGGAUGAUGAAGUAGUUCCCAUAGCCUUCUUUUUUCUCCUCUUCGGCAACUGCUCCCCGAUGCAAUUCUGAUGUCCAGAAAAGAAGCUGCAUUUUAACGGUGUGCUGAACUGUGGUUUGAAUCAUUCCAGUUGGCUGGCUGAUUUUGGAGAAAGGAGGGGGGGAGGCAGGGACCGUGUGUAUAAAUAAAAAUGUGACUGCUCCUGAGGAGUUCAGUGGACAAGGAAUGUCUUUGUGGGUUUAUCUGCAAGCAGUGAGCAUCAUCUUUGGAAAAAAGUAAAGGAGAAACUCCUAUCUUACCUGGGACCGAAUGAAGAACAUCUUAGGGACAAACUUCCCAUGGGCUGCUACUUGGAAAGAACAUCUCAUUGGAAUAUAAGUGCCAAAGGGAAAGGAAGCAUUAAAACAAAGACACAAAGAAAUAAAAUGACAGCCUUCUGAUCCCAUGAUAUUCACAUGUUCUACAGAUCUAAACUUUAAAAUAGGAAAUAUUAUAAUGUUAAGUGACUUUUCCAUUGAUUAUUGGGAACUGGUGCAUUCAGAGAAGACUGCUUCCAUUAUAAAUUUGCAAUCCUUUGGACUUCAAGAUCGCAAAGUUUCAUAGCCUCAUCCAUCCCCCGUAUAAAUGCAUUGCAAUGGUCACAUGAAUGUUUGAAGAGUGGUACCAAUACCAUCCAUUGGCUUGUUUAAAAUUGCACUUUAGAAGGAAGAAGCCAAUUGUUUAUUAAACAAAUAAAUAAUAAACAGAAAGACUUGCAAAAAAAUGAAUCUGAUUGUGAAACUUCGUAGAAGUUUCCGAACUUUAGUAAUACUCUUAACUACUUUCUGUUUAGUUAGCAUUGUCAUUUCUGCUUAUUACUUAUAUACAGGUCACAAGCAAGAAAUUGCUCUUAUUGAGACCACAGAUGGGGUACAAUGUGAAAACCUUAAGCUUUUACCAUACAGGUCAAUGGAGCUUAAAAUGGUGAAGACAAUUGAUCCAUCCAGGACUGACCCUACUGUGCUGCUGUUUGUUGAAAGCCAGUACUCUCAGCUUGGCCAAGAUAUCAUAGCUAUUCUGGAGUCUAGCCGAUUUCAGUUUCAAAUGGUGAUCGCAUCUGGAAAAGGAGACAUUCCUCCACUAGCCGAUAAUGGCAAAGGGAAAUACAUCCUUGUGAUCUAUGAAAAUAUUUUGAAGUACACCUCCAUGGAUUCUUGGAAUAGAGAACUCCUGGAAAAAUACUGUGUGGAAUACAGUGUUAGCAUAAUUGGUUUUCAUAAAGCCAAUGAGAACAGCUUGUCAAGUACUAGACUCAAAGGAUUUCCAUUACACCUUUACAAUAAUGUAGCUCUGCAAGACUGCUUAGUAAAUCCCCAAUCUCCUCUACUGCACAUAACCAAAGCCCCAAGGGUUGAGAAAGGCCCCUUACCUGGUGAAGACUGGACCAUUUUCCAAUAUAAUCACUCUACUUACCAACCUGUGCUUUUAACAGAAAUUCAGGCUUCCAAACCAUUCCCAGCAUCAUUGCUGAAGGUUAAUUUUUAUGCUACAGUGAUUCAGGACCUGGGACUACAUGAUGGGAUUCAGAGAGUCCUUUUUGGAAACAAUUUGAACUUUUGGCUCAACAAACUCAUUUUUAUAGAUGCCAUCUCCUUCCUGACAGGAAAGAGGCUUAUACUGUCCUUGGAUAGAUACAUUCUUGUUGACAUUGAUGACAUCUUUGUUGGGAAGGAAGGAACAAGGAUGAAUGUAAAAGAUGUCAAGGCCUUACUAGAGACUCAAAUUUUACUACGCACUCAGGUUGCAAAUUUUACCUUCAACCUUGGAUUUUCAGGAAAGUUUUACCACACAGGAACCAUUGAAGAAGAUGAAGGUGAUGACUUGCUGCUGAGUUCUGUGGACGAAUUCUGGUGGUUUCCUCAUAUGUGGAGCCACAUGCAGCCUCAUCUCUUCCAUAAUGAGUCAUCAUUGGUUGAACAGAUGAUUCUCAACAAAGAAUUUGCACUAGAACAUGGUAUUCCAACUGACAUGGGCUAUGCAGUGGCUCCUCAUCAUUCUGGCGUUUACCCUGUUCAUAUUCAGCUUUAUGAAGCCUGGAAGAAAGUAUGGGGCAUUAAAGUCACCAGCACUGAAGAGUACCCUCAUCUGAAACCUGCACGGUACAGACGGGGCUUCAUCCACAGUGGCAUCAUGGUACUCCCUCGACAGACAUGUGGACUUUUCACCCAUACAAUUUUUUACAAAGAAUAUCCUGGAGGGCCUCAAGAACUAGACAAAAGUAUCCGAGGAGGCGAACUGUUUCUUACCAUUCUUCUUAACCCUAUCAGUAUCUUCAUGACUCACUUGUCAAACUAUGGGAAUGACCGGUUAGGUUUAUAUACAUUUGUCAACCUGGCCAGCUUUGUUCAAAGCUGGACUAACCUGAAGCUACAGACCCUCCCGCCAGUUCAGCUGGCUCACAAGUACUUUGAACUCUUCUCUGAGCAGAAAGACCCGCUUUGGCAGAAUCCAUGUGAUGACAGACGCCAUAGGGAUAUCUGGUCUAGAGAGAAAACAUGUGACCACUUACCAAAGUUUCUUGUGAUUGGACCCCAGAAAACAGGAACAACUGCACUUUAUUUAUUUCUCCUUAUGCAUCCUUCCAUCAUUAGCAAUCUCCCUAGUCCAAAAACCUUUGAAGAAGUUCAGUUCUUUAAUGGAAACAACUAUCACAAGGGAAUUGACUGGUACAUGACCUUCUUUCCUACCCCUUCUAACAUCACCACUGAUAUCUUGUUUGAGAAAAGUGCCAACUAUUUUCAUUCAGAAGAUGCCCCCAAAAGGGCUGCCUCCUUGAUUCCCAAAGCAAAAAUCAUCACCAUUCUCAUUGAUCCAUCAGACCGAGCAUAUUCCUGGUAUCAGCAUCAACGUUCUCAUGAUGAUUCCACUGCUCUUAAAUUCAAUUUCUAUGAAGUGAUUACUUCAGAUGACUGGGCACCUUCUGAGCUAAAGAUUCUACAGAAAAGAUGUUUGAUUCCUGGCUGGUAUGCUAUCCAUAUAGAAAGAUGGCUAACAUAUUUUCCGACUUCACAGUUAUUAAUUAUUGAUGGACAACAGCUAAGAAGUGACCCAGCUAGCAUAAUGGAUGAAGUUCAAAAGUUUCUGGGAGUUUCUCCUCAUUAUAAUUACUCUGAAGCCCUAACGUUCGAUCCUCAGAAAGGAUUUUGGUGCCAGCUGCUUGACAGUGGAAAGACAAAGUGCCUGGGAAAAAGUAAAGGCCGAAAAUACCCCCCAAUGGAUCAAGAGUCCAGAGCAUUCCUUUCAAACUACUACAGAGAUCACAAUGUGGAACUGUCCAAAGUGCUACACAGACUGGGACAACCAUUACCAUCCUGGCUAAGACAAGAGCUUCAGAAAGUGAGAUAGCAUCAAAAAGAAUCCAGAGAUCUUUACAUCCUGCUUCCUUCACUCUACCACCCUUUAGUUUCCUGAUGAAUUUUCAGUUAUAGAGGACAUCUGAAAUUUCUCAAAAUCAAUAAAAUUAAAUUAAAGCCACACACAAAAAGGAGGUGAGAAAUUAUAACGUAAAUGAACAUGCUGACCAUUGCUAGUAUCAGCUUUUCAAUCAGCUUCUGAAGGGAAAAAAAAUCAGAGCUAUGAGGAAUGGUUUUCUGUCUAGUUUGGGAUUCACACAUACUCUGUUUGCCAGGAAAGUCACAGAAACUGUAUUUAUGAUCGAUACUCUUCAUCAUAUAUGAUAAAUUACAGUCUGUCAAGACACAAGCCAAAGGAUGGAAUAUCUCUCAAUGGAUUGCAAGUGCAUCUUUUCCAUGCAGUUCCUAAAAUAUGGACCCAAGGACUGGAUGCUCCCAUCAUUCCUGCAUCUCCCAGCUAUGAAUAAAUAUUCACAAGUGACACAAACUUGUGCAUCUGCCAAGUUA
This is an RNA transcript of Sceloporus undulatus (fence lizard), 3939 nucleotides long. It is a transcript of the gene named N-deacetylase and N-sulfotransferase 4, with no coding region annotated. The record is from RefSeq and is a predicted model, not a curated record. Lineage: Eukaryota; Metazoa; Chordata; Lepidosauria; Squamata; Phrynosomatidae. The transcript has 16 exons.